Molecule: non-coding RNA, 95 nt
Organism: Pelobates cultripes (western spadefoot toad)
Lineage: Eukaryota; Metazoa; Chordata; Amphibia; Anura; Pelobatidae
Source: the annotation of a GenBank genome assembly
CCCCAGAUGUUGCUGAACUACAACUCCCAUGAUUCUUUCAAUUAAAAAAAGAUAGCCAGGGAAUCAUGGGAAUUGUAGUUCAGCAACAUCUGGGG